RNAcentral lists this ribosomal RNA (468 nucleotides) under uncultured bacterium. RNAcentral describes it as "partial 16S ribosomal RNA". It matches the Rfam family "Bacterial small subunit ribosomal RNA", at positions 28 to 507 of the family's 1533-position model. The record is from RNAcentral.
GACGAACGCUGGCGGCGUGCUUAACACAUGCAAGUCGAACGGCAAGGCCCUGCUUUUGUGGGGUGAUCGAGUGGCGAACGGGUGAGUAACACGUGAGUAACCUGCUCUUGACUUUGGGAUAACUUCAGGAAACUGGGGCUACUACCGUAUAGGAGCUCCUGCUGCAUGGUGGGGGUUGGAAAGUUUCGGCGGUCGGGGAUGGACUCGCGGCUUAUCAGCUUGUUGGUGGGGUAGUGGCUUACCAAGGCUUUGACGGGUCGCCGGCCUGAGAGGGUGAACGGCGACAUUGGGACUGAGAUAGGGAGCAGACGCGAACGGUAGGCAGCGGUGGGAAACAUGGCACAAUGGGCGGGAGUCUGAGACAGCAACGCCGCGGGCGGGAUGACCGCCUUCGGGGUGUGAACCGCUGUCGCCUAAGACGAAGCGGGAGUGACGGUAAUGGGUAAAGAAGCACCGGCUAACUACGUG